ACGGAUGUGCUGAAAUUGGUAGACAGAUUCGUUUUAGGUACGAAGGAGGUUACUCUCUUGCAAGUUCAAGUCUUGUCAUCUGUA
Molecule: transfer RNA, 84 nt
Filed under: Hirsutella thompsonii
Lineage: Eukaryota; Fungi; Ascomycota; Sordariomycetes; Hypocreales; Ophiocordycipitaceae
Description: tRNA-Leu
Rfam family: tRNA
About the family: Transfer RNA (tRNA) molecules are approximately 80 nucleotides in length. Their secondary structure includes four short double-helical elements and three loops (D, anti-codon, and T loops). Further hydrogen bonds mediate the characteristic L-shaped molecular structure. tRNAs have two regions of fundamental functional importance: the anti-codon, which is responsible for specific mRNA codon recognition, and the 3' end, to which the tRNAs corresponding amino acid is attached (by aminoacyl-tRNA synthetases). tRNAs cope with the degeneracy of the genetic code in two manners: having more than one tRNA (with a specific anti-codon) for a particular amino acid; and 'wobble' base-pairing, i.e. permitting non-standard base-pairing at the 3rd anti-codon position.
Source: RNAcentral